CCCUUAGAUGUCCUGGGCCGCACGCGCGCUACAAUGACUCUCUCAGAAAGUACUAUUUCUCCUGGUCCGGAAGGAAUCAGGGUAAUCUUUGUAAUAAGAGUCGUGUUAGGGAUCGAUCUUUGCAAUUAUAGAUCUUGAACGAGGAAUGCCUAGUAAGUGCAGCUCAUCAGGCUGUGCUGAUUACGUCCCUGCCCUUUGUACACACCGCCCGUCGCUCCUACCGAUUUCGAGUGGUCCGGUGAACCUUCUGGACUGGGGGCGCAAGCCCUCGGGAAGUUAAGUAAACCUUAUCACUUAGAGGAAGGAGAAGUCGUAACA
RNAcentral lists this ribosomal RNA (318 nucleotides) under uncultured eukaryote. RNAcentral's name for it is "partial 18S ribosomal RNA". It matches the Rfam family "Eukaryotic small subunit ribosomal RNA", at positions 1470 to 1796 of the family's 1831-position model. The record is from RNAcentral.